Molecule: ribosomal RNA, 504 nt
Filed under: uncultured bacterium
Lineage: Bacteria
Description: bacterial SSU rRNA
Rfam family: Bacterial small subunit ribosomal RNA
Source: RNAcentral
GACUAACGCUGGCGGCGUGCCUAACACAUGCAAGUCGAACGGGCUUUUGUUGGAUAGCAAUAUUUGGCGAAAGCUAGUGGCGAACGGGUGAGUAACACGUAGGUAAUCUACCUUCGAGAUGGGAACAACGCAGGGAAACUUGUGUUAAUGCCCAAUGAGACCACGUCCCGGGAGGGAUGCGGGAAAAGGCUGGGCGAAAGUCUGGCGCUUGAAGAUGAGCCUGCGGCCUAUCAGCUAGUUGGCAGGGUAAAAGCCUACCAAGGCGAAGACGGGUAGCCGGCCUGAGAGGGUGAUCGGCCACACUGGGACUGAGACACGGCCCAGACUCCUACGGGAGGCAGCAGUGAGGAAUUUUCCGCAAUGGGCGCAAGCCUGACGGAGCGACGCCGCGUGAAGGAUGAAGGUUUUCGGAUUGUAAACUUCUUUUGUCGGGGAAAAAGAUUUGCGUGCUCAUACCACGCAAGUUUGAUGGUACUCGGCGAAUAAGCCCCGGCUAACUCUGUG